UCCAAGGACGAAGUCCACCUAUAAAUAUUGCAGGAAUAAUAAAAAUAAGAACAGUCUGCUUUGUAAACUAAAGCCAGUGUUACAGGAAUUCCUUGAUUAACCUCAAAAGUUACAAUUAUGUUUGCCAAAUUGGUAUUUUUAUUUGCACUGAUCGCUGUGACUUUCGCCCGUCCUCAGUACUACCCUAGCUACGGCUACAAUGGCUACAGUUCUGGUUACCCCAGCUACUACGGAUAUUCCGGAUAUUCGAGCCCCCUAGGAUAUUCAGGAUACGGUUACGGAUCACCUUAUAAUUACGGAUAUGGAUAUUACUGAGUUUUAAUGUACAUUUUGAUCUCUACUAACUGCCGAAAUGUUUUGUCCAUUUUGUUUCUUUAUUUUUAUUUUUUGUUGCCAAUGUGAUAUAUUUUGUAAUUAUUUGAAUAUUUUUAAAUGUAACAAUUAAAUAUUUUAGUUCGC
Molecule: long non-coding RNA, 459 nt
Organism: Amyelois transitella
Lineage: Eukaryota; Metazoa; Arthropoda; Insecta; Lepidoptera; Pyralidae
Exons: 2
Source: RefSeq, a predicted model, not a curated record